GGGUGAAUAGUCUAGUGGUUAGGACGGUUCGUUGUGGUUUCUUCUCCCGAGGGCGUCCAGUUGAUAUCCGAACAAACCCCGGUUCGAUUCCGGGUUCGCCCA
Molecule: non-coding RNA, 102 nt
Organism: Rhypophila decipiens
Lineage: Eukaryota; Fungi; Ascomycota; Sordariomycetes; Sordariales; Naviculisporaceae
Source: the annotation of a GenBank genome assembly